This is a non-coding RNA of Equus caballus (horse), 3054 nucleotides long. The record is from RefSeq and is a predicted model, not a curated record. Lineage: Eukaryota; Metazoa; Chordata; Mammalia; Perissodactyla; Equidae.
ACUCCAUGGGUUCUGAUUGACAUCAGAUUGCAGUGGUUCGUCAAUGAGAUAUCACACCACUGCACCACAUGGGAAGCUAAAUAUCCAAACUUGCAAGGAAUUCAUACUGUAAGACAUUGCUAAGAAUAGUUGCGGAAAAUUAUUUGGGGUUCUUUGUCUGUGUGUGUAAUAGAAAAAUAGAUAAUUAUUCACCUCCCAGUAUUGGGCACAUCCAUCCCUACCCAACCUUGGGGAUGAUCCAAAAUGUUCUUUUUCUGGAAUGAUGUAUUGUAUAGAGAUCCAGGAGUCACCAUGUAUUCAUCAUCAUUUGUCUUUGGGAACAGAGGAGAGUACCCAUAGAACUGAUUGAGGCAGAGUCAGUCUCCAUGUUAACGUCUGCCCAGAUGUCCUUGGUUAGAGCAUGCUGAUCUCUCUAUCCAGCCCCUGAGGUCAAAAUCAGGCAUUCUGUAAACUAUUGCUCCAUCUUGAGAGGUCACUAACCUGAAAAGGAAUAUUUUGUUUUGAAAAUGGAGGGAAGCAUACAGUUCCUUCUCAAAUUCUUGUUCUCCACUCCCUGAUUCUGGUGCUUACACACUCAGCUAAGGCAGAGGGUGAAAGACCACAUACAACUUAUAAGCGGCUAAUGACAAGGUCAAUCUUAUGGAGGUUUUUGCUGAAGAGACUGAUAUGGGCAUAGAGCAAAUACCCUAAGAGUAACAGUGGUCCGUAGCCAUGUCCCAAAAUUUCUUACUGUAGACCCCAGUCCUUUAUGCUAGUUUCAGUAUCAUGGUGGGAUAGAGUGUAAUUCCUUUGGCCCAUAGUGGAGGUGAUGGCUACAAUACAAUAUGUUAUUGGCUUUGACAGUCCAUUUAUUUUCCUUACGAUAUAGCUGUUUUAUUUUGACGUUUACAUGUGACACGUAAAGAUUGAGUUGAACAAAAAUUGUUAUAUCUCAUUCUAUUUGAAUGUCUCUAUAGUAAUAUAGUUCUAAAAGAAUGAUAAUAGAAUUAGACCAUUAUUGUCUCAUCGGUCUGUAAAGGCAGACUUUAGUAUGAGACUAGAUUCUAUCUCCAGAAACAACAUUUAAGUUUUAUCCCUUAUGCAGAGUAUCCAGUGGCACAACAUUAGGAAUCCAUCAUCAUUAUAGUGGAUCACUAUCAUAUUCCAUUGAAAAUGCCUACUGGAAGUCAAGAUACAUUUGUUGCCUGUUGACCUAACCUGGAUCAUACUGCAUAAGGAUGCUACUGUUUCCAAAGCACUUUGACAUUUCAGAUAACAUAUUGGAAAAGGAGUAUAAUUUUUAAAGGAAGAGGCUUUUGUGAGAGCAUUGACAUUUAAAGGACAGCAGAGAAGAUCCUGAACAGAGACCUGAGUAUAAGCUACACAGAGAGCGGAAAAAACCUUGCGAAUUUCCUAGUAAAGCUCACCACUGGUGCAACUCAGUUAAAAGCCAGGUGGCAUGGGAGUCCUGCAGACAUAGCCCACCUCUGUCAGUGUCCUGAGUCAAGAGCAGGACUGGCAAGGUUGGAAAGUGGAUGUGGAGGAGCAAGGAAGAGAGAGCUGUAUUUAGAAGAGUUUGAAUUGUUUGCAGCAUACAUUGAUGAACAACCCAGUAAGAAUAAUUUUCUCUUUGGAGCUAAGUUUGAAAUUUAUUAAGGGAAAACAAAAAGACAAACAAACAAAAACAUGUACAAAUAUGGAACAAAGUCAAAAGAAAGAGUUCAGCGAAAGAUUAAGAUUUAGAUCUUAAUUGCAACUGUCUUGGUCCAUUGAGGCUGCUAUAAUGAAAUACGGCAGACUGAGUGGCUUAUAAAUAGCAGAAAUGUAUUGCUCACAGUUCCAGAAACUGGGAAGUCCAAGGUCAAAAUGCUGGCAGAUUUGAUGUCUGGUGAGAGCCCGAAUCCUGGUUAGUAGAUGGCUAUCUUUUCCCUGUGUCUUCACAUGGCUGAAGUGGGGAAGGAAUUCUCUGCAGUCUCUUUUUUAAGGGUUCCAAUCCCAUUCAUGAGGGCUCUGCUCUCACCUCCCAAAGACCUCACCUCCAAAUAACUUCACUUGGCAGAUAAGUCUCAAAAUACAAAUUCCGGUAAACACAAAUCUUUAGUCUAUAGAAAGAACUAAAGAACAAAUGAUUUCAAAAGAGAAAAAGUAUAAUAGACAAAUGCACAUUUCAGCGUAUCUGGGCUAGAGUGUGGGGCCCUGAGUGAAAUCUUUCACGUAAAGUUUCUUAUAUUGCUUAUAUAUUUGUAUAUACAAUGUGAAUUUGCAUCCACACAGUGUGUAUAAUCCAUACUGUGCAUCACUAUAGUGCAUAUUUACACUGCUUGUCACACAAUAUUCAAGAAACAGGAAUUCUGAACAACGCUUUACAGAGAACCAUAGUAAUUAAUCCUCUUCAUAAGGGCAUUAUUGCAAGUGUUCCAGUUAGUGGUGGUUAUAUUUAUCUUCCUGCUGUAGCUGUAGAUGUUGGCAGUUUGGUUUAAGAUAGAGACAGUCACUCUUGCCUGUAACUAAAUUCUAGAAUUCACAAAUGCCUAAGUUAAAGCCUGAGAAAGUAUUCUCAUUACGUAUUUACCACGGUUGGUACUAUGUUAAUUACAGAUGCCUUAGUUUGGGUAACCAAGAAAGAAAAUUAUUGUAAAGCAUUAGACUUUUAUAUCAUUUUUAUAAUGAGAGCCAACUUUUUGAAGCCAUAGACGUCAUAAAAUGAUUAAUCUUCAAAUUAUAUAAUGGCUAAUAUUAAAAGUCUAUUUUGGUUAUACAAUGAGCAAGUACUAACUUUAUAAAAAAUAGUAAUAAUUAUGACUAAUUUAGGGAAUGUAGAAACAAAAUGGCGUUAAAAUACUGAUGAAAGUCAGCAAAUGGUCUUGUUAUUAUUUGGAGGAAGGAAAAGAUACUGAUAAACUUUAGAUUGUGUGCAAUUACCUUUCAGGUGACAAAUUAUAGUUAUGCUUUAUUUUCUUUAACUCUAGCAUUGUGGAUCUCCAUAAGUAGAUAUUUCUAAAUGUGUUUAUUUCAUAAAUAAAACUUCAUUAGUAUAAAGAAGUAACCAAUAUGGCAAAGGGAAGUAUAAUUGCA